CAGGGAGACAACAAAAUGUUUAAUAUUAUUAUUUUGUCACCUUAGGUCGAUCGGUAUCUCACAUUCUUAAUUUGUUAAGAAUUUCAUUUCCUAAGUUUUUCUAGGUCACACCCAUUAUUUUUCCUGGGCCAUUAGCUCAGGUGGUUAGAGCGCACCCCUGAUAAGGGUGAGGUCCCUGGUUCAAGUCCAGGAUGGCCCAUAUCUCUAUGUUGGGGGUAUAGCUCAGUUGGUAGAGCGCCUGCUUUGCAAGCAGGAUGUCAGCGGUUCGAGUCCGCUUACCUCCACUGAUUACCUCCUCUUCCAUAACCGGUAGAAAGGAAAAGUUUUGAGUUGUGAUCUUUAAUCUGAACGAAUCUAGCUUCCUAAUGAAAUCAUUAAGAUGCUGGACUCAUUGAAUUAAUUUCAUUGUUUUCAGAGAACCUUGACAACUGCAUAGAUUAUUUUUAAAGACAAUAAGCAUCUUUAAUGAUGCAGAUUUAUUAUUUGUGCGAAUGCAUUAAUAACAAUUCUAUUAAGCUGAUGCUUCA
RNAcentral lists this transfer RNA (527 nucleotides) under uncultured Prochlorococcus sp. Its description in RNAcentral is "partial 16S-23S ribosomal RNA intergenic spacer". The stretch from base 212 to 284 matches the Rfam family "tRNA". Lineage: Bacteria; Bacillati; Cyanobacteriota; Cyanophyceae; Synechococcales; Prochlorococcaceae. The record is from RNAcentral.